This 459-nucleotide ribosomal RNA is filed under the name uncultured bacterium. Its description in RNAcentral is "partial 16S ribosomal RNA". It matches the Rfam family "Bacterial small subunit ribosomal RNA", at positions 339 to 795 of the family's 1533-position model. The record is from RNAcentral.
CUACGGGCGGCUCCAGUAAGGAAUAUUGCGCAAUGGAGGCAACUCUGACGCAGCCAUGCCGCGUGCAGGAAGAAGGCCUUAUGGGUCGUAAACUGCUUUUAUUUAGGAAUAACCCCCUGCUCGUGAGCAGGGCUGAAGGUACUAAAAGAAUAAGCACCGGCUAACUCCGUGCCAGCAGCCGCGGUAAUACGGAGGGUGCAAGCGUUAUCCGGAUUUAUUGGGUUUAAAGGGUGCGCAGGCGGGCUAUUAAGUCAGUGGUGAAAUCCCGGGGCUCAACUCCGGAACUGCCGUUGAUACUGAUAGUCUUGAGUUUGGUUGAAGUGGGCGGAAUGUAGCAUGUAGCGGUGAAAUGCAUAGAUAUGCUACAGAACACCAAUCGCGAAGGCAGCCCACUAAGCCAAAACUGACGCUCAUGCACGAAAGCGUGGGGAGCAAACAGGAUUAGAUACCCCUGUAGUC